GGAAAAGUCAAUGUGAAGGACAGUUAAAUACAUCAGGGCUUCUCAGCGUGAAGAAAUGAGACCAGGCAGGGUAUGACAGAAGACUAUGAAGCUGUUCCUGAAGGAGUCUUGAAGUGUCAUCUGCUGCAAAACGUCGGAAUUACGGAUGCCAAGUGAAACAGCGGUGCUUUCACCCUGAACCUGAUGCUGAGGGUGUGAAUUACCUAUGGGAAAGUGAAGGCAAUAUGACCGCUUUCAUAUUUCCUGGGAGUGAAUUACAGCCAGGACUUGUACUUGCUGUGAGAGAAUAUCCAGGUUCACACACCAGUUCAGGUCAGCUACUUAGACAAUACAUGGGAAAUCUGUUUUGGCUGUUGGACUGAGAACUCUAAGCUCAUUUCACAAGUGAAAGGUUACAGCAGAACAAUUCUCGGUACAGGAGGGAAUUUAGAGCACCUUUAUAAAUGCAGUGCUGGAUGUCUGCUUCAGCUGACUUUCUGUAUUUCCCUUUUCCUGCCAGAAAUCCUUUAUUUUCUAAAAAUAUUUACUUGACUCUGCAUAUUGCUGUCUAAUCUAGAGAUGGAUAAUACAGUGCUGAUUUUAAAAUCCUGACUGGUACAGGAUGUAAGAAUGACUUCUAAAAUAGUGCUAAAAUGAGUUGCUUUGGAACAAAUUUUCUAACCUAAUCUGUUCUUCUGGGUGUAGUGGUUUCUACAGCACACACCCCCCCUCCCCCAACCUCUACUGCUGUCCUAAUCUUCUAGACCAUUUAGUACCCUCCUCUUAUCCUAAGUAAAAUACAAUUGCUGGCUCUGAUAUUCAUUAAGUGAUAAUCCAGAUUAAUUCAGACUUUGGUGCGGAAACAGGUUGUAUUUCAGCUGCAAAGAAAUCCAGAUUGCCCCAUGCAAAAUGCACACACAUACACACGCGUAUGCACACGCGCACACAGUAUGUAGAACGCCUUAAAGAAACUGUAGCUAACCACCUUAUUAGUAUUCCUCCCUCCUCUGUGUUUCACUUGCAGCAACAGAGGGCUGAGCAAAAUGCAGUAGAACAGGGACAGAGACAGAGCUGGCAAUCAUCUCGGUGCAGGCUGCUGAAUGUAGGGGGUGGGGGGGAUGCAGCAAAGCAAGAUUAAUAACCUUGCCAUAAUCCUGUGCACCCUGGAAGGAGAUACCUCUGGUGACUGAGCUGUUCUUGUCUUGAUUAAUUGGACUGAGUGAAUGAGUGGCUGGCAAUCCACCUGGUUUGGAGGCGACCCCCUGGUUUUGCUGUUCUCUGAAUCCUCUACCCAUCUGGGAAGGUAACAGUGAGACGUACCAUCUGCAGCACACACAGCAGCUAUUGGAAGCUACUACUGACAGUUUGCACUACAGUUUUUGGUGAGCAAGAAGCCAGGUAUAUUGUACAGUAGGAUAUUUUUGUGCUCGAGCUACUGAAUUUCACAAUCUGGUCCUUCAGCAGCCCCCUACCCUCCCUUUUCCAAUUGCCUUUGAGUUCUGGGCUUACUUUGGCAUAGUCUCCUGGACGCAUUUGCUGGGGAUGGAAAAGCAAUAAAUGGAACCUCUGAAAACUAAUUGUUUUGCUUCUGUGUGACUCGAGAAAGAGAAAAGCGAAAAGAAUCAAAUCCAGCUGGAGGAAUUUAAAUUUCUUUGCAAAGUUUACAAAGGGACCAUACAAAAGAAAUGAAUUUCAUUAUGGAGAGAAAUCAUGAUUAUUUAUUGAUGCAGAAGGCAAAUGGGCUGAUGUUCUACCAGGUGUUCUGAACAACAUGUGAGUGUAAUACAUUUGCAGUAACACUGAUUACAUGUUCAAUUUAGCUAGUGAUUAUGACUUGAUUUUAACAAAGAAAAUUUAGAGAUGUUUCUUAAUUUAUUUUUAUCGCAGCAGCAGCAAAGAU
Non-coding RNA from Phalacrocorax carbo (great cormorant), 1879 nucleotides. The record is from RefSeq and is a predicted model, not a curated record. Lineage: Eukaryota; Metazoa; Chordata; Aves; Suliformes; Phalacrocoracidae.